GAGGUGGAUGAUAACGGUUACCAUGUGAAAUAAGAUUGGUUUAGUUGACUAAGCUAUCAAAACGGUUUUCAUCUUGAAGAAAUAGGUUGGAUAAGAAAUAAGAUGUCGUCUAACAACCAAUAAUUGUAUUUCAUAUAGUUAUCAAAGUGUUGCUUACUUUUUUUUACACCAAUUGCUUAUAUUAAAAUUAAAGGCCCAAUUAAUGGACUAAGUCAGUUACAACUGGAGAGAUCAUCGACGGCAAACUGAUAAAUGAAUAUAACUAAGAUAUGACGAAAGAUAGAUGUGGCUAUGGAGAGAAGAGAUCCAUAGAGAAGUUUCACUUGUAAUCCUAAAACCCAAGUUCGAAGAAACGCAAAGAAGUCGAGAUCGACGUUGAAGAACCCAACUAAUAGGUUUAGAGAGUAAGAAGUCUGUGAAACUCCGUAAAGGAUAACAGCUCUGGUGAGAGGUUCACAGUGACGACUAUGUAAAUAAUCGUUGAUGCUUGAGACAGUGUAAUGUAAUGGAGACUCAGCGGUGACGUAGUAAUGAGCAGAUCUGACGAGUUCACACUCUUGCACAGUAGUUCAUGCGACGAGGAAAGGGGUGGGGGAUCAUAGAGCGGACUCUAUAAAGAACCGUC
Molecule: long non-coding RNA, 625 nt
Filed under: Brassica napus (rape)
Lineage: Eukaryota; Viridiplantae; Streptophyta; Magnoliopsida; Brassicales; Brassicaceae
Description: long non-coding RNA (BNAP_LNC003547)
Source: RNAcentral